UUCCUCUCAGGUCACACCUGGAGAGUUUCCAAUACUCUACCAGUCUCGACUAUGGGAGGGCGAGUCAAGCAGAGGCCUACCCAUUCCAUUCCUAGUUUGGGCAGUGACUCGUGAAUGGAAGGCAAUAUGCUACAAGU
Small nucleolar RNA from Tachyglossus aculeatus (Australian echidna), 137 nucleotides. Lineage: Eukaryota; Metazoa; Chordata; Mammalia; Monotremata; Tachyglossidae. The record is from RefSeq and is a predicted model, not a curated record.